AGAAUCAACGCUGGCGGCGUGCCUAACACAUGCAAGUCGCACGAGAAAGGGGAGCAAUCCCUGAGUACAGUGGCGCACGGGUGAGUAACACGUGAAUAAUCUACCUCCGAGUGGGGAAUAACUGAGAGAAAUCUUAGCUAAUACCGCAUAACACUUACGAGUCAAAGCAGCAAUGCGCUUGGAGAGGAGUUCGCGGCCGAUUAGUUAGUUGGCGGGGUAAUGGCCCACCAAGACGAUGAUCGGUAUCCGGCCUGAGAGGGCGCACGGACACACUGGAACUGAAACACGGUCCAGACUCCUACGGAGGCAGCAGUGGGGAAUUUUGCGCAAUGGGGGAAACCCUGACGCAGCAACGCCGCGUGGAGGAUGAAGCCCCUUGGGGUGUAAACUCCUUUCGAUCGGGAAGAUAAUGACGGUACCGAUAUAAGAAGCCCCGGCUAACUUCGCGCCAGCAGCCGC
RNAcentral lists this ribosomal RNA (459 nucleotides) under uncultured bacterium. Its description in RNAcentral is "SSU rRNA". It matches the Rfam family "Bacterial small subunit ribosomal RNA", at positions 26 to 518 of the family's 1533-position model. The record is from RNAcentral.